Molecule: transfer RNA, 83 nt
Filed under: Schistocephalus solidus
Lineage: Eukaryota; Metazoa; Platyhelminthes; Cestoda; Diphyllobothriidea; Diphyllobothriidae
Rfam family: tRNA
About the family: Transfer RNA (tRNA) molecules are approximately 80 nucleotides in length. Their secondary structure includes four short double-helical elements and three loops (D, anti-codon, and T loops). Further hydrogen bonds mediate the characteristic L-shaped molecular structure. tRNAs have two regions of fundamental functional importance: the anti-codon, which is responsible for specific mRNA codon recognition, and the 3' end, to which the tRNAs corresponding amino acid is attached (by aminoacyl-tRNA synthetases). tRNAs cope with the degeneracy of the genetic code in two manners: having more than one tRNA (with a specific anti-codon) for a particular amino acid; and 'wobble' base-pairing, i.e. permitting non-standard base-pairing at the 3rd anti-codon position.
Source: Rfam by way of RNAcentral
GGCCUCGUAGCUCAGUUGUCUAGAGUGUUGGCUGUACUAAAGCCUUCACAUUGCUGACGUGGGUUCGAAUCCUACCGCGGCCA